This 430-nucleotide ribosomal RNA is filed under the name Bacteroidota bacterium. Its description in RNAcentral is "Bacteroidetes bacterium partial 16S ribosomal RNA". It matches the Rfam family "Bacterial small subunit ribosomal RNA", at positions 355 to 776 of the family's 1533-position model. Lineage: Bacteria; Pseudomonadati; Bacteroidota. The record is from RNAcentral.
UAGGGAAUCUUCGGCAAUGGGGGGAACCCUGACCGAGCAACGCCGCGUGAGUGAAGAAGGUUUUCGGAUCGUAAAGCUCUGUUGUUAAGGAAGAACGAGUGUGAGAAUGGAAAGUUCAUACUGUGACGGUACUUAACCAGAAAGGGACGGCUAACUACGUGCCAGCAGCCGCGGUAAUACGUAGGUCCCGAGCGUUGUCCGGAUUUAUUGGGCGUAAAGCGAGCGCAGGCGGUCAAUUAAGUCUGAUGUGAAAGCCCCCGGCUCAACCGGGGAGGGUCAUUGGAAACUGGUGGACUUGAGUGCAGAAGAGGAGAGUGGAAUUCCAUGUGUAGCGGUGAAGUGCGUAGAUAUAUGGAGGAACACCAGUGGCGAAGGCGACUCUCUGGUCUGUAACUGACGCUGAGGCUCGAAAGCGUGGGUAGCAAACAGG